CCCUUAGAUGUUCUGGGCCGCACGCGCGCUACACUGACGAAGUCAGCGAGCAUCUCCUACGCCGAAAGGUGCGGGGAAUCUUGUGAAACUUUGUCGUGCUGGGGAUUGAUUUUUGAAAUUCUUGAUCAUCAACGAGGAAUUCCUAGUAAGCGCAAGUCAGCAGCUUGCGUUGAUUACGUCCCUGCCCUUUGUACACACCGCCCGUCGCUACUACCGAUUGAAUGGUUUAGUGAGAUUUUUGGACUGGAACUCUCUUGUUCAGUAAUGAACGAGAGGGACUCUGGGAAGCUAUUCUAACUGUAUCAUUUAGAGGAAGUAAAAGUCGUAACA
This 330-nucleotide ribosomal RNA is filed under the name uncultured eukaryote. RNAcentral describes it as "partial 18S ribosomal RNA". It matches the Rfam family "Eukaryotic small subunit ribosomal RNA", at positions 1470 to 1796 of the family's 1831-position model. The record is from RNAcentral.